Molecule: long non-coding RNA, 1405 nt
Filed under: Scleropages formosus (Asian bonytongue)
Lineage: Eukaryota; Metazoa; Chordata; Actinopteri; Osteoglossiformes; Osteoglossidae
Description: lncRNA (ENSSFOG00015030380.1)
Source: RNAcentral
CGCAACAAUGGUGACACACUGGGGCAAGGGUUCGAACCCAGCGGGAAUCGCAGUUGCGACACGGCUUUCCCGUCGCUGCCGUCAUCAGGGCUGUGAAACGGGAGGUUGAGGAGAGUCCCGCCCCCCCAUCGCACACAGGUCCGCCGGUCCUCGAACCGUCUCGGGUCUGGUGCUCCUGGACGCCGCGACACGCCUGUGCAGGGAUCCAGGGAGACUGACUCCUACACGCGUGUAGCGCUGUGUGUUCUCUGCGUGUCCUGUGCCACACGCUGCUGCCGGAACCCCUCGUGUUCAGCGUUUCUUACGGGCCGCGAGUCGCUCCCGACCGGUCGCUCCUCGAACCCGACUCAGCCGUGCGGCACGGCUGUCGCACCGCAGUUCAGCGUGUGAGCGUUUGUGAGCGUGCGUGAGCAUGUAGCUCCGUGUGCGUCGGCGCGUGUGUACACGCGUGUCAACUCACAGCGCAGGAUCGAUGAACGAAUCUCACGCGGCAGUUUGUUUCCUGGCUCUCAGAGCUCCGCUGCUGGGACUUCCUGGGGGGGUAGCGGUCGCUUCCUGUCGGCUCUCGGCAGGAUGGCACCCGGAGCCGCGGCCGGACCCGUCGUCCCACGGAGGCCCGCCGGGACUCGCGACGCGUCUCCACGGCAACUGCUGCGGCCUGUUCCGUUUCCUCCGGUGUCCAUCGGGGCGACCGCUCGUCACAGGGGACGCGACACACGGGACACGACACACGGGACGUGACUCCACGCGGCUCAGGGUUCCGCUGGGGGGGUCAGGAGACAGGCUGUGGCCCCCGAGUUCUGCUGAAAGUCCCAGUGAAGCCACACGGUCCGGACUGGUGUCGGAACGACACGAGGAUGGGGAUGAAGAUGAUGAUGAAGAUGAAGAUGAGGAUGAGGAAGGUGGAGCUGAGCUCCAGUGGCCCUGUGUAUCGUCUGGUUUUGUUUCACUCUGUACACCUGCUGUACGCGUCUCUUGUUUACUCUGCACACGGAGGUAUAAACAUGCCUGAUGGCUCAAGACCACUAUCGGUUUGUGUGCGUGUGAGUCUCCUCCACCACUUUCACUUUCUCUCUCAGUCCUUCUUUCCCUCCAGCUGAUCACAGGGGUUUCUGGGGAAUUUUGCUCUCAGCGCGCACACGCACGCACACACGCACGCACGCACACCCGCACUGCUGGGAAACACACAGCUCCUCCACCGUCCAGAGGGACACACACCAGGGAGUUUUUGCGUGACGCCGGAACCCGCAGAACUUUCUGACUGAACUCAUGGGAAUCCCGCUCUCAUUUGCAUACUCAGUUAGCACUGCUGACACAAAGUGCUGCAUGGUAAAACAAGGUUUAAGAAACGCUGUAAAACACAGUUAUAUGAAAUCUUUUGCACCCGCCCCCCCUCCCAUUGUGU